GGAAGUGCAAGCCACGAUGAGAAGCUUGGAACUGUCAGCUCCAUGCCCUCUCCAGAGUCCAUGAUUGGUCAUGCCUACAUAAUGAAAGCUCCAUAAAAAUCCCAAAAGUAUAGGGUUCAGAGAGCUUCUGGGUUGGUGAACCCAUGGAGAUUGGGUAGAGUGGCGGGCUUGGAGGGGGCACAGAAGCUCUGCCCUUUCCCCCAGCCCUUGCCCUGUGCAUCUCUUCCAUCUGGCUGUUCCUGAGUUACUCCUUUUGUAAUAAGCCAGUGAUCUACCAAGUAAAAGGUUUCUCUUUCUCUGAGCCACUCUAGCAAAUUAACUGAACCUGAGGAGGGGUCGUGGGAACCUCCAAUCUAUAGCCAGUUGGUCAGAAGUACAGACCACAACCUGGACUUGCGGCUGGCAUCUGAAGCAGGGGCUGGGGGGUGGAAGUCUUCCAGGACUGAGCCCUUUACCUGUGGGAUGGGAUGCUAUUUCCAGGUGUACAGUGUCCGAGCUGAGAUAAAUUGUAGGACCCCAGCUGGUGUCACAUGAUUGCUUGCUGGAGGAACUCCUCCCCCUCCCCCAACAUAUAUCUGGUAUCAGAAGUGUUGUGACUGCGGUGGUGGCAUCAGAGUGAAGGAGACACACAGGAGGACUGGGGUGGUUUUCCGCAACAAUUCCUGACCAGGAUCGUUAAUUCCUUGACAAGGAGGGUAAUGAUGGCUCUCUUAACAAUGGUACUGUGAGGACUGAACGGAAUGAUCUUUGCAGAUUCUGAUCCUGCCGCAGGUUUCUUUGUACAAAUAGCACAGGAGGACACCAGCCCCACGCAGACAGAAGUCCAGGGUCCCGCCCGUCCUCCUGUCCUCAUGCUGGCAGAUAGGAGCCUCUACACUGGAGCCUUUGCGGGGGCCUGGGAACCUUUGGGAGCCUGAGCCACAGCAGGGGCUGGAGCUGGAGUCACAGCUGCAGUCUGGCCCUUGGGCUGAGUCUUGGCCUUGGCCUUUGGCCGGCAGAGCCUGAGACCCUUGGCAACGAACGCUGUGAGAGCAUGUUUCCCAAGCUUGGGGUGAGCAAUGUAGGCAAGUCGAUUGAGCUUGUGGCUCCUGCUCUUUGGGAUCUUGGGCUUAACUUCCUUUAGCUUGAUGAGGCCCUUGGUAGGCCUCGGCACCUACACUCAUGGCCUUGCCAUUGUUAGCCUACACCUUCUUCAGGCACUUCUUAUUGUACUUCUUGGCAACGCGCAUGUGCCUCGGGAACCUGGAUUUGGCUCUUAAAGAGAUUCAUAUCUUUGUGCCUGGGGUUUCUUGAUGCCAUUUCUGGGCCAUUUUCAUGACUGGUUGUGUGUGGUGUGAUUCUUGGACUUGGACUUGGACUUAGCCAUGCCCGCUCCAAAGCCCACAGCUCCCAAAGCUCCUCGGGCUGGAAGAGAAAGAGAAAGACUGGGUAUUAUGUUCUUAUUUAUUCGGGACAGGUGCCUAGGGGUGAGACUGCUGAGCAGCUUGGUAAGAUCCAUAAGUGGGUGCUAUUAAGAAACGACUAACUCUCUUCCAGAGUGGCUGUGUCAUUCCCACUCCUGCCACAACACAAGAGAGUUCCAGUUACUUUGCUACCACGGCCACAUUAAAUCAACUUAAUUUGGAUUCUCAGCUCUCACCCUGCUUGGUAAGGAAGAAAUUUAGCCUUGUCUAUUUUCGGGGCUGUUCCCACAACACAUCACACACACACACACACACAUACACACACAUGUGGGCACACACAUGCACACACACAGUGGGAAAAGAGUGAGCCUGGGCCUUAUGCUGUCUACACUGCUUACCACUGAGAUCCCCCAUUUUCUUGGAUUAUUUGAUGUCAGCCCACCCCACCAAGGCUGACCCACCCCAGCAACUGAGCGUGUUCCCAGAGUCUGAGCCCCACACGGCUGUUCCUCUCCGAGGUCCUUCUGGCUGGGGCACUAGAAGAAAAGCACAGAUUAAGAGCUAAAAAUAUUAGUCUGCCAUAUAUAUAAAGCACUCUGCACCACCCCAGACCCAUAGACGAUGCUCAGUUAAUGUUGUUUCCUUUCCCUUAGGAGAGAGGAAGGUUGUCCUCUCCCCUGUGGAGGUGCAUCUGGAGCCGAAGGCGCGGACAGACUCAGCACAGAGACAGCACAUCUGGCCGGGUUGAGAACCAUCUGCAGUGGCCACUUGACUCCAAGCCCCU
RNAcentral lists this long non-coding RNA (2187 nucleotides) under Canis lupus familiaris (dog). RNAcentral describes it as "lncRNA (ENSCAFG00000050306.1)". The record is from RNAcentral. Lineage: Eukaryota; Metazoa; Chordata; Mammalia; Carnivora; Canidae.